This 385-nucleotide ribosomal RNA is filed under the name uncultured bacterium. RNAcentral describes it as "bacterial SSU rRNA". It matches the Rfam family "Bacterial small subunit ribosomal RNA", at positions 28 to 414 of the family's 1533-position model. The record is from RNAcentral.
GACGAACGCUGGCGGCGUGCUUAACACAUGCAAGUCGAGCGGUAAGGCCCUUUCGGGGGUACGACGAGCGGCGAACGGGUGAGUAACACGUGGGUGACCUGCCCUCAGCUCUGGAAUAAGCCUGGGAAACCGGGUCUAAUACUGGAUAUGACUCCAUGACGCAUGUUGUGGGGUGGAAAGCCUUGUGCGGCUGAGGAUGGGCCCGCGGCCUAUCAGCUUGUUGGUGGGGUGAGGCCUACCAAGGCGACGACGGGUAGCCGGCCUGAGAGGGCGACCGGCCACACUGGGACUGAGACACGGCCCAGACUCCUACGGGAGGCAGCAGUGGGGAAUCUUGCGCAAUGGGCGAAAGCCUGACGCAGCGACGCCGCGUGAGGGAUGACGG